GCCUAACACAUGCAAGUCGAGCGGUAACAGGUGUAGCAAUACAUGCUGACGAGCGGCGAACGGGUGAGUAAUGCUUCGGAAUCUGCCCAAUGGUGGGGAAUAACCAGCCGAAAGGUUGGCUAAUACCGCAUGAGCCCUACGGGGGAAAGCAGGGGAUCGUAAGACCUUGCGCCGAUGGAUGAGCCGAAGUCGGAUUAGCUAGUUGGUAGGGUAACGGCCUACCAAGGCGACGAUCCGUAGCUGGUCUGAGAGGACGACCAGCCACACUGGGACUGAGACACGGCCCAGACUCCUACGGGAGGCAGCAGUGGGGAAUAUUGGACAAUGGGGGAAACCCUGAUCCAGCGACGCCGCGUGUGUGAAGAAGGCCUGCGGGUUGUAAAGCACUUUUAGUGGGGAUGAAAAGCUCAGGGCUAACACCUCUGGGUCUUGACCUAACCCACAGAAAAAGCACCGGCUAACUCUGUGCCAGCAGCCGCGGUAAUACAGAGGGUGCGAGCGUUAAUCGGAAUUACUGGGCGUAAAGCGUGCGU
RNAcentral lists this ribosomal RNA (533 nucleotides) under uncultured bacterium. RNAcentral describes it as "bacterial SSU rRNA". It matches the Rfam family "Bacterial small subunit ribosomal RNA", at positions 46 to 572 of the family's 1533-position model. The record is from RNAcentral.